Molecule: ribosomal RNA, 497 nt
Filed under: uncultured bacterium
Lineage: Bacteria
Description: partial 16S ribosomal RNA
Rfam family: Bacterial small subunit ribosomal RNA
Source: RNAcentral
GAUGAACGCUGGCGGCGUGCCUAAUACAUGCAAGUCGAGCGAACAGACGAGGAGCUUGCUCCUCUGACGUUAGUGGCGGACGGGUGAGUAACACGUGGAUAACCUACCUAUAAGACUGGGAUAACUUCGGGAAACCGGAGCUAAUACCGGAUAACAUGUUGAACCGCAUGGUUCAACAGUGAAAGACGGUUUUGCUGUCACUUAUAGAUGGAUCCGCGUCGCAUUAGCUAGUUGGUAAGGUAACGGCUUACCAAGGCAACGAUGCGUAGCCGACCUGAGAGGGUGAUCGGCCACACUGGAACUGAGACACGGUCCAGACUCCUACGGGAGGCAGCAGUAGGGAAUCUUCCGCAAUGGGCGAAAGCCUGACGGAGCAACGCCGCGUGAGUGAAGAAGGUCUUCGGAUCGUAAAACUCUGUUAUUAGGGAAGAACAAAUGUGUAAGUAACUAUGCACGUCUUGACGGUACCUAAUCAGAAAGCCACGGCUAACUACGUG